GGGAAAAUGAAUGCUUCUUUCCGCAAUUUAGAUGUAGAACAGAAAUAGAGAUAGCUUGAAAGACUUCUUGUUUAUUGUACAGAACAGCAUGGAAAAUGGAGAAAAAAUAUCCCAUUUUCUAGCUGUAGUAUGAAAAACUUAAGAGCAGUUCCUCCAGAGAUUUUUGCUACAUCUAAAGAUUUUUAUACAACCCUAGCCCAGUACAUCACAUAUAUAGGGAUAUUUACAUGAACACAAAUCCAGAAAACCAAGUAAAACAAGAGGCAUCUGUUUGCAGUGUCACAAAAACAAAAUUAGUCACACUAGACCUUCCCUAAGUCCUUCAAAAACCGAAACUUGCCCCUCUACUUCCUUGUAUCGGUCAGUUAGCUGCUAACAUUGUUUGCAAUGAAGCUAGUGAUUAAAUUGAUCCAUUCAGGAUCGCAGUGAGUGAUGCAACCACAUACAGAUGAGUUGAACUUGACCUUGCUCUUAUGGUCUGCAUGCCACCACUUCAAGAUCUCUCAUGAAAGUUGAUGGAACGAGACAAGGCAGCAGGGUUUGCGCGCAAUAUCGGAGAGGUUUCAGCAACAUGCUUCUUUUCAUCACUCUUUGGUUGGAAGGCCUUGAACAGUCUUCCCCCAGUAAGGGUUUCAUUCUUUAUUCCAAGCGUUGCCCAUAUAGAACUUUUUGCAGCUUCAGUUGGAUCAUCAAUCCUUAGAAUUUUAGGAACUAAAACAUGUCCAUUUCUAUUCUUUGCCGUCUCUUCUUUCUCUAGGUCUUCUGGCUUAAGUGUGUCCCCGUCUCUCGAGUGCUUUCCCAAAGGAGAAUUAGGACCAGAUGGAGCCUUUUGAUUUGAUGAUGAAGAAGAUGAUUGAGGAGACACCAAAGGGAUGUUCCAACCACCAGGGAUACCACAAUUCCAAAAGGCAGGAUAAAAUGAUAUGGGAAAUCCUGGUGGGCAAAAAGCUGGAGGGGGCAAAACAGAAUUCCAAGGAUAGGGCCAGGGAACACCAGGGAUGCAUGGGAUUGGAGAGGCAAACCCAUUGAUGCUUUGCAUAAAAUGUUCUUGUAAGCAAGUCCUGCCACCUUCCCCCAUUGAAUUGGAAACUGUCACAGAAGAUCCACUUGAGCAAUCAUCACCGUUUUCUCUACCAUUGCAAGGAGCUGGAAUUCUCUGUUCUUCAAAGUUAUGAAGGCCAUUUCGAGUGCCAUUCAAAACCUUCUUAUCAGCGAUAUUUAAUACAGAAGCCAUGGAAUCACAUAUUGGUGCAUCCAAGCCAAAGCUAAGGACUCUACCACUAGUUUUCAGUGCAGGGCUGUGUGUUCCAUCAGGAGCCUCAAUACGAGCAGCCUGAAGCGCCUCAGAAAUGGUUAUGUGAUGAUAAUGAGAGGCAGAGUUCUUAUUCUUGCGACGUCCAGCUCCCACUGGGACAUUCCUCAUGGUACCACCAGCAGUCCAAUAUCUUUGACAGGCUUUGCAGAAAUGGCGCGGUUGGUUGAUAUUGUAAUUGUUGUAGUAACAAAAUUUGGUAUCCAUGCUAUUGCAUCUAGGGCACGGAAGUAUUUUGUCAGGCUUCUUGAGGGUUUUCUCUUGUUUGUUGCUUGCAUCAUUCUGCUCUUUCUCUGUCUUGGAAGUCUUUGAUUUUGCAGAUUCUUCAUUGAUAGAGGGUGUUUUGGGAUUCACAUUAGUCUCUGGUGAUGUUUCUGGAUCUGCAGACUCCUCUGUAUCCUGCAGUGGAGUAUCAUCUUCUUCUGCUCCUUCUGCAAAAUCCUGAAAUUUAACAUGGUCUCUUAGUUAUUUACAUCUAUUUGUCAUAAAUUAAAUCAAUAUUCAGCAACAACAAGAAAGAACAAGCCAAAUGAAUGAAUAGAACAAAGUGAAUAUUCCAUAAAUAUACUUCAUCAUUUCUGAAUUCUGAUUAAAUUCCAAUGUUUGCUUUAUCAAUCUUCCUCUGUUUCUAGUCAUACACGUGAAGAGGUCUAGAAAAUUAGUCAAUUGAGAAACAAAGGAACAGACACAUGUAGAAGAACUAUAGUCAUGAAGACUAAGAAAACAGAAAAUAAUUGAACAGAAAGAGUAACAAAUUGAAAAAUUCAGCAGGAGACCUUCAAAAUAAAGCAUAUUCAACAGGAAAUUUGAAGUUGAAAUGCAACUCAUCUAAUCAAACCUGUGUAGUUAUACGAAACAUCAAAUUAAAAAGAGAAAGAAAAUUUUGCUUUGACGAGAGGCUGGAAUUCGAUUGUU
RNAcentral lists this unclassified non-coding RNA (2227 nucleotides) under Hevea brasiliensis (rubber tree). The record is from RNAcentral. Lineage: Eukaryota; Viridiplantae; Streptophyta; Magnoliopsida; Malpighiales; Euphorbiaceae.